CUAAUGCGCCUUGAAAUGAGGAACACAAAAGUCACGUGUAAACAAAAAAUCUCUGUGUAGUGAUAUUUGACACAUUUCUAUGAUAAACAAAUAACUGAGCUGAACCAUUAGUGUUAAUUUAGAAAAUAAGGGAACACAGAAUAAAUGUGUAAAAACCAUGGAGCUAUGAAAUGUGUUCAAAGUAUUAAAAUUUCAAAGAACUUAUUGUGUUAAAAUUGGGAUUUUUUACCAUGAGGAGCGACAUCGCAAAAGGAUACUCGGGGUUUGCUAAAUUACGGAAAAAUGAAUCACACUUCGUACCCCGAAAAUUUAACCACAUAUGUAAACAUGUCGCAGCUUCGAAACAAGCCAUCAUACAUAUACAAGUUUACGAUAUGGGCUGAGCAACAGAAGAAAACGUUACCAUUACGGCCUAUGGAAUAACAAUUGCGCAUAUUGCCCCAUCUUGUGAGCUAGGAUCCAGAGAUAUGUUAAGCUAAUUUCACCUUGUACACCACAGAAAAUUGUUAAAAUGAUGGUUAGUAGUUUUUUAUUUAUACCUAGUUAUCAUAAAUGAUUUCAGAUAAAUAUUAUUGAUAAAGAACAGCAAAAAUUCAAUAAAAUUUUCACUUUUAAAUGCAUUACUGGCACGGGGCUGAACACUUUUUUUUAGGCACAGUCAUAACUUUGUUUACCCCCGAGAGAUCCGAAAUGAAUUGUUUAUUCAAUUGAAAAAGGCAAGAAAAAACUUACAUGUAAUAUAAAUAAAUUUUCCAGACAUAUCAUUACUUUUAAAUAUGAGAUGACAAACUAAAGGUUUUAAAAAGUCCUGAAUAACUGAAAUGGACAAAAAUACACAGAUUUAUUCAGAAUGUCAUACCGAUGAAGAUCACCUAAAAAUAUUUGGAAAAAUCAGAACUAUGGAUUUCAAUAUGGGACAAUACCCCUAAUGCGCCUUGAAAUGAGGAACACAAAAGUCACGUGUAAACAAAAAAUCUCUGUGUAGUGAUAUUUGACACAUUUCUAUGAUAAACAAAUAACUGAGCUGAACCAUUAGUGUUAAUUUAGAAAAUAAGGGAACACAGAAUAAAUGUGUAAAAACCAUGGAGCUAUGAAAUGUGUUCAAAGUAUUAAAAUUUCAAAGAACUUAUUGUGUUAAAAUUGGGAUUUUUUACCAUGAGGAGCGACAUCGCAAAAGGAUACUCGGGGUUUGCUAAAUUACGGAAAAAUGAAUCACACUUCGUACCCCGAAAAUUUAACCACAUAUGUAAACAUGUCGCAGCUUCGAAACAAGCCAUCAUACAUAUACAAGUUUACGAUAUGGGCUGAGCAACAGAAGAAAACGUUACCAUUACGGCCUAUGGAAUAACAAUUGCGCAUAUUGCCCCAUCUUGUGAGCUAGGAUCCAGAGAUAUGUUAAGCUAAUUUCACCUUGUACACCACAGAAAAUUGUUAAAAUGAUGGUUAGUAGUUUUUUAUUUAUACCUAGUUAUCAUAAAUGAUUUCAGAUAAAUAUUAUUGAUAAAGAACAGCAAAAAUUCAAUAAAAUUUUCACUUUUAAAUGCAUUACUGGCACGGGGCUGAACACUUUUUUUUAGGCACAGUCAUAACUUUGUUUACCCCCGAGAGAUCCGAAAUGAAUUGUUUAUUCAAUUGAAAAAGGCAAGAAAAAACUUACAUGUAAUAUAAAUAAAUUGUAAGUAAACAUGACACAAUAUAGUCUUUGUUAUGCAAUUAUCACUCUGGUCUACAGGAAUAGCUUAUAAUCAAGGGAGAUAACACACUUCACACGAGUAAAGUGAGAUACAUCAUACAUGUGCUUUUAUCCAAUGAUUUGACCCUGGUCAGUAGAUAUCAUAUGCAAAUAAACAGAAAAAAAACCAUGUACAUGUAUUAAGAAAAUCACGAAUUACUAUUGUUAAUGCACACGAGCAAAACACAAGAUAUUGUCAUUUCUCAGUGAAAAAGGGGGAGGGUCAAACCUUCUUGAACACAAUAUUGCUAUUCAACUACAUGUAUUAAGCUAGUUAGCUACUACUCAUUGCUUCUAAUAUAAACAGUUUAAAUGAAGGUGGCUAAGCCACAAGGGAGAAGCAUUUUUCUUUCUUUGUGAUAACAUUUUCAAGAAUUAGAUUUUUCUCUCUCAAUAAUACUUAUGUAUUUAAAUUAAAUGAUAACACAGUUUGAGUUAAAUUUUUUUGUCUUAUUUCAGUUCCAGACAUAUCAUUACUUUUAAAUAUGAGAUGACAAACUAAAGGUUUUAAAAAGUCCUGAAUAACUGAAAUGGACAAAAAUACACAGAUUUAUUCAGAAUGUCAUACCGAUGAAGAUCACCUAAAAAUAUUUGGAAAAAUCAGAACUAUGGAUUUCAAUAUGGGACAAUACCCCUAAUGCGCCUUGAAAUGAGGAACACAAAAGUCACGUGUAAACAAAAAAUCUCUGUGUAGUGAUAUUUGACACAUUUCUAUGAUAAACAAAUAACUGAGCUGAACCAUUAGUGUUAAUUUAGAAAAUAAGGGAACACAGAAUAAAUGUGUAAAAACCAUGGAGCUAUGAAAUGUGUUCAAAGUAUUAAAAUUUCAAAGAACUUAUUGUGUUAAAAUUGGGAUUUUUUACCAUGAGGAGCGACAUCGCAAAAGGAUACUCGGGGUUUGCUAAAUUACGGAAAAAUGAAUCACACUUCGUACCCCGAAAAUUUAACCACAUAUGUAAACAUGUCGCAGCUUCGAAACAAGCCAUCAUACAUAUACAAGUUUACGAUAUGGGCUGAGCAACAGAAGAAAACGUUACCAUUACGGCCUAUGGAAUAACAAUUGCGCAUAUUGCCCCAUCUUGUGAGCUAGGAUCCAGAGAUAUGUUAAGCUAAUUUCACCUUGUACACCACAGAAAAUUGUUAAAAUGAUGGUUAGUAGUUUUUUAUUUAUACCUAGUUAUCAUAAAUGAUUUCAGAUAAAUAUUAUUGAUAAAGAACAGCAAAAAUUCAAUAAAAUUUUCACUUUUAAAUGCAUUACUGGCACGGGGCUGAACACUUUUUUUUAGGCACAGUCAUAACUUUGUUUACCCCCGAGAGAUCCGAAAUGAAUUGUUUAUUCAAUUGAAAAAGGCAAGAAAAAACUUACAUGUAAUAUAAAUAAAUUGUAAGUAAACAUGACACAAUAUAGUCUUUGUUAUGCAAUUAUCACUCUGGUCUACAGGAAUAGCUUAUAAUCAAGGGAGAUAACACACUUCACACGAGUAAAGUGAGAUACAUCAUACAUGUGCUUUUAUCCAAUGAUUUGACCCUGGUCAGUAGAUAUCAUAUGCAAAUAAACAGAAAAAAAACCAUGUACAUGUAUUAAGAAAAUCACGAAUUACUAUUGUUAAUGCACACGAGCAAAACACAAGAUAUUGUCAUUUCUCAGUGAAAAAGGGGGAGGGUCAAACCUUCUUGAACACAAUAUUGCUAUUCAACUACAUGUAUUAAGCUAGUUAGCUACUACUCAUUGCUUCUAAUAUAAACAGUUUAAAUGAAGGUGGCUAAGCCACAAGGGAGAAGCAUUUUUCUUUCUUUGUGAUAACAUUUUCAAGAAUUAGAUUUUUCUCUCUCAAUAAUACUUAUGUAUUUAAAUUAAAUGAUAACACAGUUUGAGUUAAAUUUUUUUGUCUUAUUUCAGUUCCAGACAUAUCAUUACUUUUAAAUAUGAGAUGACAAACUAAAGGUUUUAAAAAGUCCUGAAUAACUGAAAUGGACAAAAAUACACAGAUUUAUUCAGAAUGUCAUACCGAUGAAGAUCACCUAAAAAUAUUUGGAAAAAUCAGAACUAUGGAUUUCAAUAUGGGACAAUACCCCUAAUGCGCCUUGAAAUGAGGAACACAAAAGUCACGUGUAAACAAAAAAUCUCUGUGUAGUGAUAUUUGACACAUUUCUAUGAUAAACAAAUAACUGAGCUGAACCAUUAGUGUUAAUUUAGAAAAUAAGGGAACACAGAAUAAAUGUGUAAAAACCAUGGAGCUAUGAAAUGUGUUCAAAGUAUUAAAAUUUCAAAGAACUUAUUGUGUUAAAAUUGGGAUUUUUUACCAUGAGGAGCGACAUCGCAAAAGGAUACUCGGGGUUUGCUAAAUUACGGAAAAAUGAAUCACACUUCGUAC
Long non-coding RNA from Mytilus trossulus (common blue mussel), 4107 nucleotides. RefSeq lists it as uncharacterized. The record is from RefSeq and is a predicted model, not a curated record. The transcript is spliced from 5 exons. NCBI's taxonomy places the organism in Eukaryota, Metazoa, Mollusca, Bivalvia, Mytilida, Mytilidae.